AUAAAAAAAGUUUUCCUUCCAAAGAAAUACUGUGACUAUAGAAGUGAUUAGAUAAGAACUGAUAUCCAAAACCUGGACAACUUAAGUUGUUUCAUAAUUGAUUUCUAUAUAUGGGACUUUAUCUUCUGGUGAGGUCUUUACCUUUAAAAGCAGGUUUGUACCUUAUAGAAAGGAUAGAAAAGAGAGGUCAUUUGUUAUCUUAUCUUCUAAUGAGAUCAGCAAAGAAAGACUUUUAAGGCCCUCCACAGCUUAUUCAUGAUCUCAGUGUGGUUCUUCAAUUGCAGAAUCAAUCCAGGUGUAAAUUGGGAUGCUGGGACCUUGUCUCCUCCCUUCUGCCCUCAUCAAGGAGCAUCUGGGACCGUGUCUGUGGGUCCUCAGUUGGACCCAGCUGGAUUUAUCUGUGGUGUGAUCCAAGCCAUUGCUGCUGUCCCCACUGCCUGUCACCUCUGCUGCUGGUACAUUUGAUUAUUCAGAUUAUCAGUGGGUGGGGAGGAAGGAUCAGGAUGUUGCCUAACCCUGCUCCCCACACACACACACACACACACAGACACCUUUGUGCCUCCUGCUCAGGGCAGAGGCCACCACCAGAAAUUGCUUCAGUAGUUUCAAUUCAGUCUGCCAGAGCCCUUUGCUCCUAAUGCCAUUUAAUCCAGUUCCUUCUUAGCCAGAUUUUCACUGAUAUCAGGUUUUGGCCCAAGAACAGUGCAGAUCCUUUUGAGCUGAACAUCUUCAGCACAACACUUACAUUUUGUCAGAAAAAAAGCCUGAACCAGCAGAAUCUCUUUUAAAGCUAAGGCAGUAUCAUUACCAUAGAGGCAAACACUAAUUUAAUGUGGUUCACAGUAACAACACACCAUUUAUUUAAAUACUUCACCAUUUAAUUUAUUCAGCAUUUUAUAUUGAAGAGUAUUUUCAUUAGGAUUCCUCUGCAAAACCGAAGAAGGCAUUAAAUCAUUUAAUAUACUGACAACUCGCUUAAUUUAUUUAAGCACAGGAGUCUAAUUCAAAAAAGCCAGACCUUACAUAGAGCCCUGUCUUUACAGCCCUGGCAUACAAGGGCCUAUUAAUUUCAGGGUAGUGUGUUACAUGGAUUUAUUUUGAGAUCCCAGUACAUGCUCUCCCCUGGUCAGCAGCCUGCUGUGGGGCUGCACCUGCCAGAGCUGCCUUUAGGAAUUCCUCCCAGUGCACACCAGUCCUGCUCCGUGCCUUUUGCCUCUGCAAAUGCCAGUGAGCAUCCAGCCUUUUGCAUUUGUCAGCUGGCUGGGUUUGCUCCUUGAUGUGACACAGAGUGACCAGCGUGACUGGAGCAGCAGAGGUCAGCAGGGAAACAGAGGCAAAUCAGCAAGCACUGGGGUCAUCAGUGAUGUCUUCAGCUGAACUCAUGGCAUUCAGAGCACUUGGUGAAGUCUGGGGGAUGCACUGAGAUGUACCCCUGACUCGACAGACACAGAAUUAACCAGGGGCUCUCAGUUCUGUGGUGAGACCCCUCCAGCCCCACCCUGAAGGUGCUGAGCAGCCUCAGGAGUUGUCACAUCCAUGCUCUCACACCCUGCCUGAAGCAAAUCCUCCACUUGGUAUUCUGGGUGCUCAUCUCCUUGGGCAAUCCAGCCCUUGUGGCUUAUUACUGAUGUCCCCAGAUGUCCCAUAACGAAUGGCAGAGAGGAAAAUUGUCACCUGUGACAAAGCUCUGGAUGAUAUUGGGGUCCCCAGUGGCUCCCGGUUUGGCUGCUUUCCGAGAUUGGUGCUGAAGCAGAACCUGGGAAACAAUAGCACAUUUUCAAUAGGAUGCACAGGGUGACAUUAAUAAACAUUAGGGGGCUUGAUAUGAUCAGGCAAAAGCAGCACAGCGAAAUGAGGUACCAAAAGCAGGCUGGAGAGGAGGGGAAGGCACCUGAACAGGGUGUUUAAUGACUCCCCCGGCUGGGAAAUGCAGCAGAGGGCAAGGCUGGGAGACAAAACCUUUUAAUGAAUUCAACAUGUGUGCACCCUUUGAAGGCCUAGCUCCCCAUUCCCCAGUGGCGUUUGACCCACCUGAAGAUAUGGAUCAUACAGAAAAUAAUAACCAGUAAGUAAUAAUAAUAAUAGUAAUAAUAGGAAGAGCAGGACCUUCAUCUCCAAUUCAUAUUUAUAAUCCAGCAAAUAUCUCACCUAAAGCCACAAGAUUUAUGGGUUUGCAUCUAUAAUUAAUAUCCUUCCUUAAGCAGGAAAGGGUAUGUUUUCCUACAAAUAAAUCUGGUGCUCUAGACCUGGAUUUUGAAGACUAAUAUUUAAAUCCCUAGCAAGACACAGUUAUUGAUUGUAUAGAUGCAUACAACAAAGACACACCACACACAUUUAUAGAGAUAGCAUUGUACAGCUAUUUUAAAAAUAAAUAAAGCUUCUCUUUUAAAUGCAAUAGAUGAGGCUUAAUAAGAAAAAAAAAGGAGGAAGAUGGGGCAGUCGACUCGGUGUCUGCUCCAAACUGUCCCUAUUUCCCAAAGAUUUCAUUUGCAUCAGGCCCCUUGCUAAAAGCAGGGCUCUUCCUGGGCGCCGAGGCACAUAAAGGGCUUUGAGACAAAGGGAAUUGAUUUGGUUUUAGUGUUAUGGGGAAAAUAAACAGUUAGGCUGAUAUAACAGUAAAAGGGUCAAGCAGGGUCAGGGCUAAUGAAGUGACUUAUGGCAGGUUGGAAUUAAAACACCCUUCCUUUUCUCCAUCCUCCCCUCUAGGAGUGAUCCCUGUGAAUGCCCAAAAUCACAUCCCUGUGUGACAGCAAAGCACCAGCCAAGGGUCAUUUGGGGCUGGGCACUGGACUUGCCUUGGCUGAAGGUUUCCAUGCCCAGCAUCACCUGCUGAGCCAUGGAAAACUCCAACCAAAGCAAGUCCUGCCCUUCAGCUCCCCAUCAGGGACCACAGUCACUGCAUAUAGUCAGGGAGGCUCAGUGGUGCUCCAAAUCAUCCCUCCAGAGCUGAACUGGUCACUGGUGGGUGGAGGAUCUCUUUAAGGGUCUGUGUUGUAGGCUUGGAGCUUUGCAGCCUCAGGACUAUGUUGCUGUCACACACUGGGUCAACACCAGCUUGCCCAGCUUCUGCUGUGCUCAGGAGAUCUCCUCACUUUCUGAAUAUUCUCUACAACCAGAUCCUGGUUUCAAAGGAUUUAUCUGUUGUUUUUUGUUGGUUUUGGGAUUUUUUUUCCUCAGGGGUUUCUUUUCACUUUUGUGAGUUGUAAUGAGCAAAGUGGGAAUGUGCUGGGUAAGGAACCAAACAUUUCUGCUGUCCUUUAUCUCAAGAGUAAAGACAUGAACAGAGCCCAGACACUUGUAUUUAUAUUGUCCUAAGGUAUUUAAUUAAUGGAGAUUUUAGUUAGUCAUGAAUAAAUAGCAUUCAUCAAAAAUUAAAAAAAAGUCUUUUUGCACUCAAUCAUUUAAGGAACUCAUCAGUGACUGCAUGUGGGAGCCUCAUUCAAACCUCACAGGGAAAGAGCUUCUUCUCCCCAGAUUAUGUGCUCCCAGAAGGGAGAUUAUACCCAGGGGGAAGGAGAAGGAAAAGGAAGAAAUUGGCAAUAACACUUGUGUGGUGCCACCAAGGGGUGGUGAGCCCCCAGGCAGGCUGGCUGCACCCUGCUUUGGGGACUCAGCUCCACCACCAUGGGUUGGAGAUGGUCCUUCCCCCAAAUGUUACUUUCAAGUGUCACAAAGCUUGUGUGGAAAGAGGGAAAAGAAAAAGCAAAAGAAACCUUCUGGUGAGCACUGUGAUCCUCCAAAACCUAGUGACCAUGGAGAAGCUUUCCCUACAGACAUGCUGUCCAAUGCAUGCCCUCAUGGUUUUUACCUCUGUGAAGAUUGUGGGCUGUGGGUGUCCAGACACUGCUCUGCAGCUCUGGAAGGGACAGGAAUUCAUGGCUGCUGCUCUUCAAGGCACAGGAGCUUGGGAAGCUGCAACCAGUGUGGGGUACUCAGCCAAGACAGAGCUUUGCUGCAACUUGGUUUUCAUGAUUUAGCAUUCCUGCUGUAAAUAAUUGAUACUAAUGUAAGUGAGAUAAGAGACAGACUGUCUGUGGGCUGGGAGGAAGUGGAUCCUGGUGACAUCCACCUGGAAAUGUGCUUGCGGAUUUGUCUGAAAUAAAAACGUUGAGAAGCCAAACACGAUGUCCAAGAGGUGGGGAGGGAGCAGGGAUGGGAAGGGUAAUCAGUGAUCAGCUCCGUGCACUCUCAUCUCCUGAAGAAAAAGCUACCACUAAUAAUUUCCUUAAUAAGAGAAUUCCUGCACUAACUAGCACUUCCUCACUCUCUGAGCAUGGCUCUCACACUAGUCCAUAAGCUGUGUUCCUGCAUUGCCAGAGAGCUGGGUGGGUGUUAGCACAAUUUAAGGAAUUAAAAUGUCAUUAAGGGGGUGCGUGGAGCACACCCUUCCUUGUCGGACACCAUGCCAGCAGGAAAAUGCCAGUGAGCUCAGCAUAUCUGAUGCCUUUGGCUUAGGUUAUCUACAACCAGCUGAGUACCAGGAAGGAGCUCUCCUGAAUCUCAGCUUUUGAAACCGGAGAAGGCAAAAUUAUAUCUCUGGUCCUGUGAGGGCGGCCAUGAGACAGGCGAUGGAGACAAUCCUGCUGGGUGGAGAAGGGGAGAUUUCCCUGCUGGGAACCUUGGAAUCCAGCACAUCCCCAGGACCAUUACACCAUAUCCAUUUCUAAAUCCUGAUUUGGAGGCUGCUAUUGGCAUUUCACAUCCUCUGAGGAGUCUGUGCCCGGCGGCAAACCGACAUUCACUUCCCCCCGCAUGACAUAAUGCCUGUUUUCAUCCUGUCUAGGGGAUAUAAAAAAAAGAUAAUGUCAGCUUAAAAAAAAAUGACAUCACUAUUGAACCACUUUACAGCUCUCUGCUUCUCUCUCUCUCCUGUGUCUCCAUCUUCACAUCCCACCUGUGUUACCUGUUGCUCAUCAGCCCGAGGACCUUCCUGCAGCCACUGCACAAGCAGUCAGAUCGUACUCCUCUCCUGAAGGCCAUGUCUUUGCACAUCACUCUGGCUGUGACACCAAGCUGGCAGCAAGCUGCAAAGAAGAAACAAUGUGAUGCCAUUUAGAGAAGGAAGAAAUCAUUUUCCCCAGUGACAUCUCUGCUUUUUACAUCCAGUGAACUGAACAGAGGAAAAGCAGGACUGGGGCACAUCUCUGCCCUCACUGCAGGCCCAAGCUGGGGGAUUCCCACAGCUCCCCAAGAGAUGAUCCUCAUCCUGGAUUCCCCCAGCUCCCCAAGGGAUGAUCCUCAUCCUGGAUUCCCCCAGCUCCCCAAGGGGUGAUCCUCAUCCUGCAGUGGAGCUUUGGGUCUAGCAGCCCAUGGAGGAAAGGAAGGCUGCGGUGUCUGCACAUCACCUAAGGGGAAUGACCUGAGGAAGAAGAGCUCAGACCCUUCAGAAAUCUUUCAAAGAGAAGCUUCAGCACUCCCUUAUCUCUUUUAAAAUGAACACAUCAUACUUUGCACAUGUUGAGCAACAAAUUUCCUAACCCAGCUUGCCAAUAGCCCACACGGCCAGUGGGGCAGUGCCAUUGUUUUAGAAAGAGGGUGAGAACAGCACACUCACUCCCCUGGCCAGUGACAACCAGCACCUCAGGGACACCCUGGACUAGAGGUUUGCACAGAGAAUAUGGGGUUUAACAGCCACCAGAGCCUGUGUCACCCAUGAAUUUGUAUAAUUCUUCCUUAAACACAGUUACACUUUCGGCUCUGUGAUGCCCCUGACACCAGUUGCUGUUGUUUAGUCAGCAGCUACUUUACACCUCCUUCCUCACCCUUUUCAUUUACAGGAACCUUUGCUUUUGUAAUAAUGCAGGCAGCUCACAGAGCUGAGCAGAACAGAUUCUGAUGGUCCAGUUUGCAAAGACAACAGAGUCCCACAACAGGAUAACACAAAGUCUGUUAAAAAUCCUAGGGGGAGAAUUUUCAGAAGUGCUUUUCUCACUGCAAGCCAGCACCAGCAGUCUUGAAAAAUUCCAUUUUUAUUUGCUAUUUAUUAUAUGUUUCCUGUGAAUAAAUUUCUGGCUCAAAUUAGACUUAUAAUAAAACUCUAAAAAAAUCUGCUUUUGGGAAAAAAAAAACCCACCACAGAUCUAUUCUUCCUUCCUGGAGAUUUGCUGCCUGUUCUGCAACAGGAGAUGUGUACCAUGGAAGUAUUUAUAACAGCAGUAUUAGGAAAUGAUCAUUUGGGCACCAGAAAUCCAUAUGAGAUAUUAUGGCUUUAAAUAAAUUGUUUAUUGCUAUGUUAAUCUAAUCUUGUAAAUACAUGCACACUUAACUAUAUUAAA
Non-coding RNA from Cyanistes caeruleus (blue tit), 6275 nucleotides. Lineage: Eukaryota; Metazoa; Chordata; Aves; Passeriformes; Paridae. The record is from RefSeq and is a predicted model, not a curated record.